Molecule: ribosomal RNA, 804 nt
Filed under: uncultured Staphylococcus sp.
Lineage: Bacteria; Bacillati; Bacillota; Bacilli; Caryophanales; Staphylococcaceae
Description: bacterial SSU rRNA
Rfam family: Bacterial small subunit ribosomal RNA
Source: RNAcentral
CUAACGUUAGCGGCGGACGGGUGAGUAACACGUGGAUAACCUACCUAUAAGACUGGGAUAACUUCGGGAAACCGGAGCUAAUACCGGAUAAUAUAUUGAACCGCAUGGUUCAAUAGUGAAAGACGGUUUUGCUGUCACUUAUAGAUGGAUCCGCGCCGCAUUAGCUAGUUGGUAAGGUAACGGCUUACCAAGGCAACGAUGCGUAGCCGACCUGAGAGGGUGAUCGGCCACACUGGAACUGAGACACGGUCCAGACUCCUACGGGAGGCAGCAGUAGGGAAUCUUCCGCAAUGGGCGAAAGCCUGACGGAGCAACGCCGCGUGAGUGAUGAAGGUCUUCGGAUCGUAAAACUCUGUUAUUAGGGAAGAACAAAUGUGUAAGUAACUAUGCACGUCUUGACGGUACCUAAUCAGAAAGCCACGGCUAACUACGUGCCAGCAGCCGCGGUAAUACGUAGGUGGCAAGCGUUAUCCGGAAUUAUUGGGCGUAAAGCGCGCGUAGGCGGUUUUUUAAGCCUGAUGUGAAAGCUCACGGCUCAACCGUGGAGGGUCAUUGGAAACUGGAAAACUUGAGUGCAGAAGAGGAAAGUGGAAUUCCAUGUGUAGCGGUGAAAUGCGCAGAGAUAUGGAGGCAACACCGGUGGCGAAGGCGACUUGUGCUGGUCUGUAACUGACGCUGAUGUGCGUAAAGCGUGGGGAUCAAACAGGAUUAGAUACCCUGGGUAGUCCACGCCGUAAAUCGAUGAGUGCUAAGUGUUAGGGGUUUCCGCUCCUUAGUGCUUCUAUCUAACGCAUUAAGCACUCC